GACGAACGCUGGCGGCGUGCUUACACAUGCAAGUCGAACGGAAAGGCCCUGCUUUUGUGGGGUGCUCGAGUGGCGAACGGGUGAGUAACACGUGAGUAACCUGCCCUUGACUUUGGGAUAACUUCAGGAAACUGGGGCUAAUACCGGAUAGGAGCUCCUGCUGCAUGGUGGGGGUUGGAAAGUUUCGGCGGUUGGGGAUGGACUCGCGGCUUAUCAGCUUGUUGGUGGGGUAGUGGCUUACCAAGGCUUUGACGGGUAGCCGGCCUGAGAGGGUGACCGGCCACAUUGGGACUGAGAUACGGCCCAGACUCCUACGGGAGGCAGCAGUGGGGAAUAUUGCACAAUGGGCGGAAGCCUGAUGCAGCAACGCCGCGUGCGGGAUGACGGCCUUCGGGUUGUAAACCGCUUUCGCCUGUGACGAAGCGUGAGUGACGGUAAUGGGUAAAGAAGCACCGGCUAACUACGUGCCAGCAGCCGCGGUGAUACGUAGGGUGCGAGCGUUGUCCGGAUUUAUUGGGCGUAAAGGGCUCGUAGGUGGUUGAUCGCGUCGGAAGUGUAAUCUUGGGGCUUAACCCUGAGCGUGCUUUCGAUACGGGUUGACUUGAGGAAGGUAGGGGAGAAUGGAAUUCCUGGUGGAGCGGUGGAAUGCGCAGAUAUCAGGAGGAACACCAGUGGCGAAGGCGGUUCUCUGGGCCUUUCCUGACGCUGAGGAGCGAAAGCGUGGGGAGCGAACAGGCUUAGAUACCCUGGUAGUCCACGCUGUAAACGGUGGGUACUAGGUGUGGGGUCCAUUCCACGGGUUCCGUGCCGUAGCUAACGCUUUAAGUACCCCGCCUGGGGAGUACGGCCGCAAGGCUAAAACUCAAAGGAAUUGACGGGGCCCCGCACAAGCGGCGGAGCAUGCGGAUUAAUUCGAUGCAACGCGUAGAACCUUACCUGGGUUUGACAUGGAUCGGGAGUGCUCAGAGAUGGGUGUGCCUCUUUUGGGGUCGGUUCACAGGUGGUGCAUGCCUGUCGUCAGCUCGUGUCGUGAGAUGUUGGGUUAAGUCCCGCAACGAGCGCAACCCUUGUUCACUGUUGCCAGCACGUUAUGGUGGGGACUCAGUGGAGACCGCCGGGGUCAGCUCGGAGGAAGGUGGGGAUGACGUCAAGUCAUCAUGCCCCUUAUGUCCAGGGCUUCACGCAUGCUACAAUGGCUGGUACAGAGAGUGGCGAGCCUGUGAGGGUGAGCGAAUCUCGGAAAGCCGGUCUCAGUUCGGAUUGGGGUCUGCAACUCGACCUCAUGAAGUCGGAGUCGCUAGUAAUCGCAGAUCAGCAACGCUGCGGUGAAUACGUUCCCGGGGCU
This 1345-nucleotide ribosomal RNA is filed under the name uncultured bacterium. RNAcentral's name for it is "partial 16S ribosomal RNA". It matches the Rfam family "Bacterial small subunit ribosomal RNA", at positions 28 to 1381 of the family's 1533-position model. The record is from RNAcentral.